Molecule: ribosomal RNA, 259 nt
Filed under: uncultured prokaryote
Description: partial 16S ribosomal RNA
Rfam family: Bacterial small subunit ribosomal RNA
Source: RNAcentral
UACGUAGGUGGCGAGCGUUGUCCGGAUUUACUGGGCGUAAAGGGAGCGUAGGCGGACUUUUAAGUGAGAUGUGAAAUACCCGGGCUCAACUUGGGUGCUGCAUUUCAAACUGGAAGUCUAGAGUGCAGGAGAGGAGAAUGGAAUUCCUAGUGUAGCGGUGAAAUGCGUAGAGAUUACACAGAACACCGAUUGCGAAGGCAGCUUACAAAGCCAUAUCUGACGCUGAGGCACGAAAGCGUGGGGAGCAAACAGGAUUAGA